GCCUGGGUCGCUCAAUUGGUUAAGCAUCUGACUUCGGCUCGGGUCAUGAUCUCGCUGUUCGUGGGUUCGAGCCCCACGUCAGGCU
Molecule: transfer RNA, 85 nt
Filed under: Felis catus (domestic cat)
Lineage: Eukaryota; Metazoa; Chordata; Mammalia; Carnivora; Felidae
Rfam family: tRNA
About the family: Transfer RNA (tRNA) molecules are approximately 80 nucleotides in length. Their secondary structure includes four short double-helical elements and three loops (D, anti-codon, and T loops).
Source: Rfam by way of RNAcentral